UGCUGGGGGAUUAGUGGCGAACGGGUGAGUAACACGUGAGUAACCUGCCCUUGACUCUGGGAUAAGCCUGGGAAACUGGGUCUAAUACCGGAUAUGACUGUCUGACGCAUGUCAGGUGGUGGAAAGCUUUUGUGGUUUUGGAUGGACUCGCGGCCUAUCAGCUUGUUGGUGGGGUAAUGGCCUACCAAGGCGACGACGGGUAGCCGGCCUGAGAGGGUGACCGGCCACACUGGGACUGAGACACGGCCCAGACUCCUACGGGAGGCAGCAGUGGGGAAUAUUGCACAAUGGGCGCAAGCCUGAUGCAGCGACGCCGCGUGAGGGAUGACGGCCUUCGGGUUGUAAACCUCUUUCAGUAGGGAAGAAGCGAAAGUGACGGUACCUGCAGAAGAAGCGCCGGCUAACUACGUGCCAGCAGCCGCGGUAAUACGUAGGGCGCAAGCGUUAUCCGGAAUUAUUGGGCGUAAAGAGCUCGUAGGCGGUUUGUCGCGUCUGCU
RNAcentral lists this ribosomal RNA (497 nucleotides) under Paenarthrobacter aurescens. Its description in RNAcentral is "bacterial SSU rRNA". It matches the Rfam family "Bacterial small subunit ribosomal RNA", at positions 82 to 593 of the family's 1533-position model. Lineage: Bacteria; Bacillati; Actinomycetota; Actinomycetes; Micrococcales; Micrococcaceae. The record is from RNAcentral.